AUGCAGUUGGUCCGGUCUAGAAAGACUUCAAUUAACAUAAAUAGUGAGGUGGGACCAUUCUUUACGUACUCAGCGGGAGUGAAUCAAGGGGAUCUGAUAUCCCCUCUUCUCUUCAACCUCGUUGUGGAUGCAUUAGCAGGAAUUUUGGAUAAAGCUAGGACGGCAGGUCACCUAUUGGGGGUAGUGGGUCACCUGAUCCCGGGAGGAGGGGUCACCCACCUCCAAUAUGCCGAUGACACCAUGAUUAUGGUGGAGGGAUCCGACCUGGACAUUGUGAAUCUUAAGUUCCUACUCUUAUGCUUUAAGGCUAUGUUAGGACUAAAGAUCAACUUUGACAAGAGCGAGGUCAUCAUCGUAGGAUUCCCCGUAGAGGAACAACAACGGAUUGCGGACAACCUCAAUUGCAGACUAGCCUAA
This 417-nucleotide ribosomal RNA is filed under the name Triticum aestivum (bread wheat). Its description in RNAcentral is "partial small subunit ribosomal RNA". Lineage: Eukaryota; Viridiplantae; Streptophyta; Magnoliopsida; Poales; Poaceae. The record is from RNAcentral.